This 358-nucleotide unclassified non-coding RNA is filed under the name soil metagenome. RNAcentral's name for it is "partial contains 5.8S ribosomal RNA, internal transcribed spacer 2, and large subunit ribosomal RNA". The stretch from base 1 to 120 matches the Rfam family "5.8S ribosomal RNA", at positions 35 to 154 of the family's 154-position model. The record is from RNAcentral.
GAUGAAGAACGUAGCGAAAUGCGAUAAGUAAUGUGAAUUGCAGAAUUCAGUGAAUCAUCGAAUCUUUGAACGCACAUUGCGCCCGUCAGUAUUCUGGCGGGCAUGCCUGUUCGAGCGUCAUUACGCCCCUCAAGUCCCCUGUGGACUUGGUGUUGGGGAUCGGCGAGGCUGGUUUUCCAGCACAGCCGUCCCUUAAAUUAAUUGGCGGUCUCGCCGUGGCCCUCCUCUGCGCAGUAGUAAAACACUCGCAACAGGAGCCCGGCGCGGUCCACUGCCGUAAAACCCCCCAACUUUUUAUAGUUGACCUCGAAUCAGGUAGGACUACCCGCUGAACUUAAGCAUAUCAAUAAGCCGAGGA